CGUUGAGCUCCGGGCCCGGGGCCGAGGAGGGGCCGCGGGGCUGCGUCGGGGCCCCGCUCUCGACGGCGUCCCGGGCCGGCUCCAUUUUGUGCGGGGAGCCGGCCGAGGGGCGGGAGACGCGGCCCGGGCCCUGGCCCCGUAGCCCCGGCGGCGGCGCGAGUCCCCGGGGGCGCCCUCCUCCCGCCCGCGGGGCUGUGGCGGGGCCCGGCGCUUUGUCUGCCCGCACAUCCCGGGGGCCGCGCGGCGGGUGGGAGGCAGGCGUUGGGCGCGGGGCCGGGGCGGCCGGGCGAGUCAGGGGAUGCGCUCUGGGGGCGGCCUCCUGGCACUCGCAGGGCUGACAGGUCGCCGGGACCAGGCCGUGGGGCCGGGGCCACCCAGGCACCUGCGUGGGGAGGAAGGCAUGGCUUUAGCUUCCCCGCAGCCUGGUUUGCGCGUAAAGAAUGCAGCCAUCUGGCGGUUUGCGGUCCCUGUACUUGCCCCGAAGGUUGAAAUCACAAAGAUUAGACACCUUUUUAGAUAGGUGUUCUUCAGCACCACUGACAACACGGUUCUGACAGUAUUUCAUGACAAUGGAUGGUGACAGUUCUACAACAGAUGCUUCUCAACUAGGAAUCUCUGCAGACUAUAUUGGAGGAAGUCAUUAUGUUAUACAGCCUCAUGAUGAUUGCAAAAGAUGCCAAAGAAUGUGUUCAAGAAUGUGUAAGUGAGUUCAUCAGUUUUAUAACAUCUGAAGCAAGUGAAAGGUGCCAUCAAGAGAAACGGAAAACAAUCAAUGGAGAAGAUAUUCUCUUUGCUAUGUCUACUUUAGGCUUUGACAGUUAUGUGGAACCUCUGAAAUUAUACCUUCAGAAAUUCAGAGAGGCUAUGAAAGGAGAAAAGGGAAUUGGUGGAGCAGUCACAGCUACAGAUGGACUAAGUGAAGAGCUUACAGAGGAGGCAUUUACUAACCAGUUACCAGCUGGCUUAAUAACCACAGACGGUCAACAACAAAAUGUUAUGGUUUACACAACAUCAUAUCAACAGAUUUCUGGUGUUCAGCAAAUUCAGUUUUCAUGAUCUGAAGAAAUGAUGGAAUGGGGAGUGUAGAGAAAUGAGAGUCUGUAUGAUUCUGGAACAGAGACAUCAGAAGGAAAGACUGGUGAAAAGAUGUAUCUUUGUAUAUUAAUAGCUGUAAUGUAGCUUCCUGAUGCUUGACUAAUUGAGGUGUUAAUUCUGACUUGAGAAUCUUUUUCAUGAAUGAUUUUAAAGAAAAAUUUGGAUUUUAAAGGUAUUAAAAUAUUUUUGUUUUGUACGAGAGUUUGUUGCUCUGUAUGACUCCUGUAUGCAUUGUAUAUUGCAAUUUAUUACUGUCAGAGAUUUGUAGACAGUUUCUUAUUUUCAUAUUGAAUCAUGUUACUUUUGUAAUUCAAGUAAGCGGCUGGGUUAAUUCAUGAUGUUUGCCCUUUUAAUAAAAUAUAAGGGUAGAGUU
This 1468-nucleotide long non-coding RNA is filed under the name Homo sapiens (human). RNAcentral describes it as "long non-coding RNA NONHSAT163938.1". Lineage: Eukaryota; Metazoa; Chordata; Mammalia; Primates; Hominidae. The record is from RNAcentral.